This is a regulatory RNA element of 32 nucleotides. It matches the Rfam family "L31-Firmicutes ribosomal protein leader". The record is from Rfam.
CUCUGUUUCGAAAUGAUACAGGGCGGAAGGAG